Molecule: long non-coding RNA, 508 nt
Organism: Aethalodelphis obliquidens (Pacific white-sided dolphin)
Lineage: Eukaryota; Metazoa; Chordata; Mammalia; Artiodactyla; Delphinidae
Exons: 4
Source: RefSeq, a predicted model, not a curated record
AGAACACGAAGAGCAGAGCGGCCGACAGAGGAUUCUGAGACAGCUGAACAAUUCCACUCUGAGGUACUUACCUAAGAGAGACGGCAACCUAGACCCACACAAAGACCUAACUUGAACGCCCACACCAGCUUCCUCCACGACGGCCCCGGACUGCACCAGCCCCGGAUGCCUUUGGACAAACAACCCAGCUGUGGUCCAUUGUACAGCGGGACACGACUCAGCAACAAAAAGGAAUGACCUGGCGCGGGAGGCGACACCUAAGCAGGCAGACCCGAAGGAAAACUGUGAAAUUUGGGAUUCCAUUUCUUCUUUAAAAUACAAAUAGUGGCAAAGGCAAAUCUUGGACACUCAUGCAAUGUGCUUGUCCCCAGUUUUUGGACACUACUGCUACGUACCGUCCCCAGAUGUUGGCACCAGUACAAAGUAAGUUUUCCAGAAUUGCUUCCAUGCUGGUAGAGAAUUACAAUAACUGAUUUCAAACCCAGAGAGACAUAGCUGGGGGUGGGGA